This 499-nucleotide long non-coding RNA is filed under the name Hordeum vulgare. Its description in RNAcentral is "long non-coding RNA (HVUL_LNC017811)". Lineage: Eukaryota; Viridiplantae; Streptophyta; Magnoliopsida; Poales; Poaceae. The record is from RNAcentral.
UUUGCCUUAUCUCUUCCGGUGAAACACAAAAAACUACAUAUGCCCUCACAGCCUCCUUUCAUUCAUUUACUCAACUUAAAUAGACAUUACAAGAAUAUCUCCGCUGCCAACUAAUUCUAAAUUCACGCCACGUCCACCAUGCACAGUCAGUCCAGUAACUAACUAAUGCAUGAGCUAACUCUACGGCCGUUUCUUCCGGCCACUAACCAACCCCACAACUAACAUUAGAAGUUUUGCAUAUGUUCACACGUGAACAUGCCUAUACGUGUGUACCCAGCCGCAACUUCUAGUGUAAGACCGAACUCUAAAAUAAACAUGAUCUAAUCAACUACUUUAUGCACUAAUCACAAGAUUUGUUUCAACAGCCGCAAGACUUGUAUCGUACGGGAUUUUAUUAUAGCGUGAACAUGAUUGCUCGACCAUGGCAUGUGAAUCCUGGGCUGCGGCACCGCUCGAUCUGCUUGACUCGGAAAGGCUCGAUGGAAAAUAAUAUCUGCAC